Long non-coding RNA from Aricia agestis (brown argus), 108 nucleotides. RefSeq lists it as uncharacterized. The record is from RefSeq and is a predicted model, not a curated record. NCBI's taxonomy places the organism in Eukaryota, Metazoa, Arthropoda, Insecta, Lepidoptera, Lycaenidae. The transcript is spliced from 3 exons.
UCAAUUAUAAAAUUAAAGUAAGUUGUGUGCUAAGGUUUAUUAUAAGGUAACUAAUUUUCUCAAUGAUAGCACACCUUGGGAAAAAUAAGCUGACAAACCAUAGGCCGC